RNAcentral lists this long non-coding RNA (2317 nucleotides) under Homo sapiens (human). RNAcentral describes it as "long non-coding RNA NONHSAT039659.2". Lineage: Eukaryota; Metazoa; Chordata; Mammalia; Primates; Hominidae. The record is from RNAcentral.
UUUCAUUCUUACCAUCUCUAGUUGAGGAAACAGGCUCAGGAAAGCUGAAAGCUAAGUGGCUUGCCUAAGAAUUUGUAGCUCCCUGGUAGCAUGACACCCGAAUCUGACCUUCCACAUCCCCGGCACCUUCCUGGAAGACCCACGUGGGAAGAGCAUGGAGGGGAGACCCCAGCAUCGUUCCAGAGCCAGGUCUGGAGGAGCCACCUGAGCUGCUGUCAUUCCACCCCCUGGCGGUUUAUACUGCCUUCUUGAUACUGCCACCUCCAGUCACUGGUGUUGGGCUUCUGAGGUGACCACUCUGCCUUCCUGGGGGUACAGGAAGACCAAGGUCUACAGAAGCACCUUCCAGGCUUGAGCUCGUUCACAGCCUGCCUGGCCCUGGGCUGGGGAACAGGCAGGGAGCAGCCUCUGGCUCCAGAGCAGGGUGGGUCUCAAUGCAUCACAUCCGUCCUUCCGGUUCCCAGCAGAGCCUUUGAAUGCUCUGCCUCAGAUCUGCAGCCAGAGGAAAAGGGGGAGUGGGCAGGGCAGACUCAGUCUAGGGACGAGCUAUGCAGCACAGCCAGUGCCAGCUCCCCACGUGCCUCCCCAACCAGGGUGAUAAAGGCUGACACCUGGGUGUGUAGCUGGGUCUGGCCCCCAGGGCAUCACAGUGACCGGGGCAAAAGGGUCCCACAAGCGCACAGGGGUGGAGGCUGAUGGCAGAGGGAAGAGGCAGGUGGGAGCCCAAAGACCCAGGCCUCCUCCCCCAGCCGGCCCACCCUUGUUUGAGCAGAGAGCACUCAGUUCCUGUUUGUCCAGUUCCCCCAAAGGCCUGGGCUGGGGAGAUAAGGAGUUAACAAAUGAGGGGAAUGAGGCAGCCUGGGCGAUAGGCAGGCACUCAGCCAACUGGUCACACCGCCUUACUGCUGGGUGCCGUCUGGCCCCAGGCAUAGCUGGGUCAGAAACCCAGGGCCCACCACAGCCUCUCCACCUGCUGUGGGUGCAGCCCCAGGUGGAACCCACCCUGGCUGAGAGCCCGGGGGUAGGCAUGGGCCAUACCAGGGGCUCUGAGAAGCAGCUCCCAUCCCCCAGCCCCCACAACCUUCUCCUGGCUGUUGGCUCUUGGCCCAGCAAGGUCCAUCCAGAGAGAGGCCUGAGUUGACAUAGAGGAGGGGGAGUCCGGGAGGGGAUGGAUACCAGAGGAAGGAGGGAAAGGCCCAAAUUUGGGAGGCCGGGGGUUGGAGCACUAGCUUGGGGUGAUGAGGAAGCUGGGGGGAGGCAAGAGAGGACCCUGCCUCUCCUGAGGAGUGAGCAGAGCCAGGGCAGUCCCUGGGGUCCAGGGCCAAGAUUUCCUGCUGACCCCUGCAGGAGCUGGGAGGGCAGAGCCUCAGCCUCCACUAUGUUGGGGGAAGGGCUCCCGGGCCCCCGGCACCUGGACACCCACCUGUCCAGAGCCUACAGAGACCCUGCGUCCCCACACAGCAGCUCCUCACACCAGAGUUCUGGUGCCCAGCACUCCUCAGCAGCAGUGAGGCCACAGGCAGGGCACAGGCCUCUGUCCCUACGCCAGGUCCUCCCCUAAAAGGGCAGUGGCAGCAGGGGCCGCCGCAGAAGGAAUGGCAGAUGAGACCCAAAGCCUUUGGUCAUCACCCCAGAGGUCUAUGCCAAAGCCUGGGUGGGGCUCCCAGGAGAUGGAACAGGGACACAUACCAGGCAGGUCCACGCCAGGGGUGCGGGGCCCUGAUGAGGAACCGGGCUGCACUGGUCAUGGCUGCACCUGAGCCGCCGCCACCUGUCCCGCAGCCAUCAGGCAGGAGCUGAGUGGGAUCAGCACCACGUAAGGGGCCGGCCUCGCUGCGCUGAUUCGUCGAGCCCAUCCGGCGACAGAGGACAGCCAGAAGCCCAGCCAGCCCCAGACUCCAGUGCACCAGAGCACGCACAGGAGCCUGGGCGCGCUGCUGUGAAACGUCCUGACCUGUGAUCACACAUGACAGUGAGGAAACCAAGUGCAACUCCUGGGUUUUUUUAGAUUCUGCCUGACACGGAACACCAGGUCUGCUCGUCUUUUUUGUGUUUUAUAUUUGCUUAUUUAAGGUACAUUUCUUUGGGUUUCUAGAGACGCCCCUAAGUCACCUGCUUCAUUAGACGGUUUCCAGGUUUUCUCCCAGGUGACGCUGUUAGCGCCUCAGCUGGCGGUGACAGCCGGCCCAGCGUGGCGCCACCACACACCGCAGAGCUGUCCAGGCACAGCUCCGUCCCCAGCGCUCAUGGUGUUGAAACUGUCUGUCAUGCACCACGGUGUCUGUGUCCACACAGUAAUAAACGGUUUACUGUCCGC